GAUGAACGCUAGCGGCAGGCCUAAUACAUGCAAGUCGUACGGGAUGGCCCCUUCGGGGGCUUGAGAGUGGCGCACGGGUGCGUAACGCGUAUGCAACCAACCCUCAUCCGGGGGACAGCCGGUGGAAACGCCGGGUAAUACCCCAUGGCGAUUCCUGUGGGCAUCCACGGGGGUUGAAAGACUUCGGUCGGGGGAGGACGGGCAUGCGUCCCAUUAGCUAGUCGGCGGGGUGACGGCCCACCGAGGCGACGAUGGGUAGGGGAUCUGAGAGGACGGUCCCCCACACUGGUACUGAGACACGGACCAGACUCCUACGGGAGGCAGCAGUAAGGAAUAUUGGGCAAUGGGGGGAACCCUGACCCAGCCAUGUCGCGUGAGGGAAGUAGGCCCUACGGGUCGUGAACCUCUUUUGUCCAGGGACAAGGACGGCGUCGGGAACGUCGUUUGAGGGUACUGGAAGAAUAAGCAUCGGCUAACUCCGUGCCAGCAGCCGCGGUAAUACGGAGGAUGCGAGCGUUAUCCGGAUUCAUUGGGUUUAAAGGGUGCGCAGGCGGCCGGGCAAGUCAGCGGUGAAAGUCAGGGGCCCAACCCCGGAAGUGCCGUUGAUACUGUUCGGCUGGAAUGCGGUCGAGGCGGGCGGAAUGUGGCGUGUAGCGGUGAAAUGCGUAGAUAUGCCACAGAACGCCGAUAGCGGAGGCAGCUCGCCAGGCCUGCAUUGACGCUCGGGCACGAAAGCGUGGGGAUCGAACA
This 750-nucleotide ribosomal RNA is filed under the name uncultured bacterium. RNAcentral describes it as "bacterial SSU rRNA". It matches the Rfam family "Bacterial small subunit ribosomal RNA", at positions 28 to 774 of the family's 1533-position model. The record is from RNAcentral.